Molecule: small nucleolar RNA, 107 nt
Organism: Coffea eugenioides
Lineage: Eukaryota; Viridiplantae; Streptophyta; Magnoliopsida; Gentianales; Rubiaceae
Source: RefSeq, a predicted model, not a curated record
AUCUGGUGCUGGGGGCAUUUGUUGCACAAUUUCUUGAACCGCUCCCAAUACUCAUAGAGUGACUCCCCUGGGUGCUGCUUGAUCCCGCAAAUUUCUUUCCUUAGACU